Molecule: unclassified non-coding RNA, 374 nt
Filed under: soil metagenome
Description: partial contains 5.8S ribosomal RNA, internal transcribed spacer 2, and large subunit ribosomal RNA
Rfam family: 5.8S ribosomal RNA (bases 1-120)
Source: RNAcentral
GAUGAAGAACGCAGCGAAGUGCGAUAAGUAAUGUGAAUUUCAGAAUUCCGUGAAUCAUCGAAUCUUUGAACGCAAAUUGCACUUUCUGGUAUUCCGGAGAGUAUGCCUGUUUGAGGGUCAGUGUGAUAAAUAAAUCGUGGUUGUUACCACUUUUCGUGGUGACGCUUCGGAAUUGAGUCGUCUUACCUUCGGUUAAGUGACUUAAAAUUUUUUCAUACGAUUUCGAAACGUAUUUAAUGUAUUAUGUACGUUCACGAAUAUCGAAUGUUUAUUAGGUGCGGUCAUUUUCAUGAAUUCGCGUCUAUAAUUUUUUUUUUUGACCUCAAAUCAGGUAAGAGUACCCGCUGAACUUAAGCAUAUCAAUAAGCGGAGGA